This 679-nucleotide long non-coding RNA is filed under the name Ananas comosus (pineapple). Its description in RNAcentral is "long non-coding RNA (ACOM_LNC018701)". The record is from RNAcentral. Lineage: Eukaryota; Viridiplantae; Streptophyta; Magnoliopsida; Poales; Bromeliaceae.
UACUCUAGUAUUCACCAAUAAUCUUUUAUUAUUUAUUUAAGUUUAAACAAAACAAAUAUUUUCAGAGCUAAAUUUAAUAUCGUCAAAUUAGACAUCACGGAUAUUGACACGGAAUACGGAACACUACAUGACUCAGACACGACGACUCACAGCUUUUAAAAAAUUAGACCACGGGUAUGACAUGAACAUCAUUAAUAAAAUAUAAUAAUAUAAAUUUAUUAUAUAUAAAAUAUUAAUUUUUAUAAAAUAUUAUUAUAUUUCUCAUACGAAUGAAAAUUAGUAAAAUUUUUAUUAAUAGUUUAUAUAUUUUAAGAAAAAAAUUUUCACCGCACAUAAUUUAUUUAUAUUUUAAAAAAAAUUUUAUAUGCAUUCAUUAAAAAGUUAAAAUAUUUAUCAUAUUACAUUAUAAAUGCAUAAAAAAAAUAAAAUAAAAAUAUGUAUAUAUAUUUUUUAAAUAUUUGCCUUAUGAAUCAGCAUUAAAUAUAUGUCCAAAAAAUAUCCACAUCGAACACGUGUCUAACACGAACAUGUGAUGCUUAUAUAAAUAUCCGUAAUACAUAGUCAUCAAAACAGAUAUAUUAUAUCUAAAAUUAAUCUUUUUUGUUUGACAAUAUCAAAAUUAGCCCUAGAAUAUAAACUUUUUUUAAAAAAUACUCAAAAUUAGCCCUAGAAUAUAUCA